RNAcentral lists this unclassified non-coding RNA (244 nucleotides) under Glomus sp. RNAcentral describes it as "partial contains 5.8S ribosomal RNA and internal transcribed spacer 2". The stretch from base 1 to 65 matches the Rfam family "5.8S ribosomal RNA", at positions 84 to 154 of the family's 154-position model. Lineage: Eukaryota; Fungi; Glomeromycota; Glomeromycetes; Glomerales; Glomeraceae. The record is from RNAcentral.
GUGAAUCAUCAAAUCUUUGAACGCAAAUUGCACUCUCCUCGGAGAGUAUGCCUGUUUGAGGGUCAGCCUAUAAAAAAUCGAAAUCUUGGCUGUUUCGCGGUGACGUUCGUCGGAAAUUGGGUCAUCUUAAAUCCUUUUGGUUUUAAGCGCCUUAAAAUUUUCUUUUUGUUUCCAUGAAGGUUUCUAAGAUUUAUUUCUUUACACGUUUAGGGUUAUCGAUUUUUAUUAGACUUUACCACCAUAC